AGUUCGUCAUUGAAAGGAAAAGAAGUUGGAAUGAAGUUUCUGUGAUCCGUCGAUAUGUUUUCGUCUUUAAUAAUAUAAAUUUCUAUAACGGAUAACCUUGAUGUCAUUGUUAACAAGAGCCAAUCGACUGGGCAGAGGAACAGAAGUGGAAAUUCUUCGAUGCUGGUUUUACAUUUCCGUAAGUGGCCAACAGGGAAUUCCACUUCUCUGAUCAACUUUUCGAUUCGACUUCCGGUUCCACCCUUCACAGUCGCUCUUCUUGCGUUUCGAAGGAUUCAGCCGACACGACAUUCCAGUGAUUGGGAACGAAUACCACCA
Long non-coding RNA from Argiope bruennichi, 318 nucleotides. RefSeq lists it as uncharacterized. The record is from RefSeq and is a predicted model, not a curated record. Lineage: Eukaryota; Metazoa; Arthropoda; Arachnida; Araneae; Araneidae. The transcript has 3 exons.